GACGAACGCUGGCGGCGUGCUUAACACAUGCAAGUCGAACGGAAAGGCCCUGCUUUUGCGGGGUGCUCGAGUGGCGAACGGGUGAGUAACACGUGAGUAACCUGCCCUUGACUUUGGGAUAACUUCAGGAAACUGGGGCUAAUACCGGAUAGGAGCUCCUGCUGCAUGGUGGGGGUUGGAAAGUUUCGGCGGUUGGGGAUGGACUCGCGGCUUAUCAGCUUGUUGGUGGGGUAGUGGCUUACCAAGGCUUUGACGGGUAGCCGGCCUGAGAGGGUGACCGGCCACAUUGGGACUGAGAUACGGCCCAGACUCCUACGGGAGGCAGCAGUGGGAAAUAUUGCACAAUGGGCGGAAGCAUGAUGCAGCAACGCCGCGUGCGGGAUGACGGCCUUCGGGUUGUAACCCGCUUUCGCCUGUGACGAAGCGUGAGUGACGGUAAUGGGUAAAGAAGCACCGGCUAACUACGUG
This 468-nucleotide ribosomal RNA is filed under the name uncultured bacterium. RNAcentral describes it as "partial 16S ribosomal RNA". It matches the Rfam family "Bacterial small subunit ribosomal RNA", at positions 28 to 507 of the family's 1533-position model. The record is from RNAcentral.